RNAcentral lists this non-coding RNA (25 nucleotides) under Cricetulus griseus (Chinese hamster). Lineage: Eukaryota; Metazoa; Chordata; Mammalia; Rodentia; Cricetidae. The record is from RNAcentral.
ACCGUACCGAGCGUCUCAAAGAAUG